RNAcentral lists this transfer RNA (74 nucleotides) under Chitinophagales bacterium. RNAcentral's name for it is "tRNA-Pro". It matches the Rfam family "tRNA". Rfam says of the family: Transfer RNA (tRNA) molecules are approximately 80 nucleotides in length. Their secondary structure includes four short double-helical elements and three loops (D, anti-codon, and T loops). The record is from RNAcentral. Lineage: Bacteria; Pseudomonadati; Bacteroidota; Chitinophagia; Chitinophagales.
CGGGGUGUGGCGCAGCUGGCUAGCGUACCAGUAUGGGGUGCUGGUGGUCGCGGGUUCGAAUCCCGCCACCCCGA